GGAAAGUAGAGAAAGAAGAAUAAUAUUUGAAAUCCAUUUGAAGGAAGCAAAAAAUCUCUUAAGCUUCAAUGACGGCGGUAGAUGCAGAAAAGAUGCAGGUAGAAAUAAGUGAUAUGUCAUGACUGCUAAGCAUUAGUCGGGUGAAGAUCUUAGACAUAUUAACGAUUUCAACUUCAAGUUUGACAAAAAUCUCAAUUGAAUCGUCUUGAAGCUCACAGCAAUGAUCUUAAUUCUAGAGAUUUAGGUAAUUGAAAUGAGUAUUCUCGAAUCGAAUCAUUGGAAGGAUUUGAUGUCUCAAAUGGAAUAAACUGAGAACGACGUCUUCUCAAAUCAAAUAAUUGAAAGGAUUUGAGGUAAUUAAGCAGAUUAAAACCACAAUUUAGGUAAAUGAAAUUUUAAUCAGAUGUUGUUUUUUUAGAAAUUAAUUUUAUGGUAUGUUUCUUAAAUUAUGUAUUUAUUGUUCAAGUUUCAUGGAUCUGUAUUCUUUUCACUGAGAUAAUUUGUUAGAUUUACUAAAAAGAAAGAUUUUGUUACAUGAGAUAUAGUUGGGGUAAAAUCAUGGAAAUAUCCUGGUUGGAUUAUUAUUAUGCUUAAUCCAGCAUUGAAAGCACCUAACAAGGUUCUGAUACUAAACUUGUCAUUGAUUUAUGAUUUUUAUUUUUGGAAAUAGAAAGGGAUUGGAUUACAAAAUUUAGUUUGAUUUGUUUCUCAUUCGUCUUAUGGUAAUAUAAUGAAAUUGAUUUAGUUUGAUUUUUUUCUCAUUUGUCUUACGGUUAUAAAUGAAAUUUAAGUAGUUUUAGCUUUUCCCCCAAAUUAAUUUGGUUUAGGAUUAGUGAGGUUCUCACAAUCUGCAACUGUUUGAUUGCAUAAAUAUCAUUCGUACAAUAUCGCGCAUGAUUUACGCCUAGUUCGUUGAUUUUAUGUCUUUUGACAUAUAAAAUUUAUGAGGUGUUGGCUAGACAUAAUUCUAGUAGUGGUUAUGGAUCUGUAUAUCCUACUUCUCUGCCUUGACAUUUUUUCUCUAAGUUUAAUGUCCUUGGUUCUUUUUACUCUCUCUUAUUAACCAUUUUGUUCCCCUGGUUGUAGUCAAGGUUGAUCUUCUUUAAUUUUUAAUUUUCAAAAGAGUUGUACUUGUUCCUUAAUUUUCAAAUACAGAUGUGGUUGCAAAAUUGGAGAAAGAUGAUGAUAUUCCUUUCCGUCGCAAUGAUCAAUCAAGUAUUUUUGGAGAAAUAAGCUUUUGCGGCGAAAUUGGCUAAAAAAGUGGUUUUUGCGCCCG
Molecule: long non-coding RNA, 1276 nt
Organism: Papaver somniferum (opium poppy)
Lineage: Eukaryota; Viridiplantae; Streptophyta; Magnoliopsida; Ranunculales; Papaveraceae
Exons: 3
Source: RefSeq, a predicted model, not a curated record